This 253-nucleotide ribosomal RNA is filed under the name uncultured bacterium. Its description in RNAcentral is "partial 16S ribosomal RNA". It matches the Rfam family "Bacterial small subunit ribosomal RNA", at positions 524 to 776 of the family's 1533-position model. The record is from RNAcentral.
UACGUAGGGGGCUAGCGUUGUCCGGAAUCAUUGGGCGUAAAGAGCGUGUAGGCGGCCCGGUAAGUCCGCUGUAAAAGUCAAAGGCUCAACCUUUGAAUGUCAGUGGAUACUGCCGGGCUAGAGUCCGGAAGAGGCGAGUGGAACUCCUGGUGUAGCGGUGGAAUGCGCAGAUAUCAGGAGGAACACCGGUGGCGAAGGCGGGUCUCUGGGCCGAUACUGACGCUGAGGUGCGAAAGCGUGGGGAGCAAACAGG